Long non-coding RNA from Oncorhynchus tshawytscha (Chinook salmon), 2054 nucleotides. RefSeq lists it as uncharacterized. The record is from RefSeq and is a predicted model, not a curated record. The transcript has 3 exons. NCBI's taxonomy places the organism in Eukaryota, Metazoa, Chordata, Actinopteri, Salmoniformes, Salmonidae.
UUCAUUUUUGGGGGGUAAGUGCAGGCAAAUAUAUUGGUGUAAGUCACCUUGUCCUAGAAAGAGUUACAGAGUUAUCAAAAAGUCACACCAGGAUAAGCCUACUGUCGUGGAAUUAUUGUAAUCAAAUGGAGAGAUUUUUACAUUUCUUCAAAACUUUAUUAUUUAAUUACUGAAGUAAUGGAGCUUGUCAACAGGUAUGAACUGACAUGUUGUCCAUCCAGUCAUAGAAUUAGGAUCAAAGAACGAACCCAUGAUUUGUAUUGGGAUUGUGCCACAGAGCAUUAUGGGGGUUCUAUGUGUUGAGAAGCUUGGGGACAUUGUUGGAUAGAGAUUAAGAGUGAAAAGUGAUAUUUGGGCAUUUUUUGGAAAUUAUUCAAUUAAAGUUAGUUUUUUCAAAUUACAGGAGACAGGUGAAAUAUUAUCAAUUGUUUUCUUAACUUUAUUUUUGCGUCCAGUUUGUGCAAUUUAUUUACAUUUGCCUUGCAAUUUCAGUGAUUUAGCUAACCUUAGCUAUAGCUAGCUACCAGAGCGAGUGUGCCGUUUUCUGUGCCAUAAUGGUAACGUUAGAAUGGCCAACGCUGCCGAAAAUGUUGUGGACUUUUUGUUGACCCCUUCCAUUCUCUGGGGUACACGGAAAAGCUGCGAAUUAAAAACGAGGGUCGACCUCUGCCUGAGAUCAGUUUCAUGAAGAAUGGUGAAAAUGUGAGGGUGUUCAAUGGCAUCUGGUAUCAAAAGUAUAGCUGGUAAACAGGGAGCCUUUCAUCAAGCCGCCUCUAUUGCUGGCCUUGCAAGAUUUUGAGAUGGAAAGUUCCACCGACAAGGGGAACUACAAGGAGCUUGCAGAGCUAAGUCCCCUCCUGUUCCCUGAUGAAGAGGAGAUGACUACUCCACUCCUCUACCUUUGUCAACAUUCUCCUGACAUGAACUGAAGCCACGUCUCGUGCCCACUCAUCCACUGGCACAUUGAAUGUUUCCUCGCCAAGGAGUACCCCUAUACAUUUUAUCUCAUUCCUGUCAAUCAUUAGAGUCAACUCAUUAGAGUCAAUCACGUACACAAUUCACAUUAUUAGACAUCUGUGAUUUUACUCAUUGCUUGGACUAACUAAUUUUUAGCCCUUUUGUCUAUCUAUGUAGUGUGUUGUGUUAUUGUUUUUUGUCUUCCCAGUCAAAUCCUGUCCUGCACUGGUCAAGCCUCUGAACACCUCAACUCAUGCCUCAUACCCUCAUUCAAUCACUUCUGUGAUCCCGCUCAGCCCUCUCAUUCUCUAUAAUAUUGUACUAUAAAUGUCUUUAUUAAAUGCUUUAGGUUAAAGUAAUUCGUCUUUCCGAUUUUUGAAACACACUUUGUCGUCUCCGUGCGUUACGUGCCUAUACCGUGGGUCUCCCAUCCUCCUCAAAAUGUUUGUCACCAGCCUCCAUAGACCCUAAAGUCAACGCAGGAAGGGCAAACGCUAUUGGAUGCGUGAGCACACGCUCCCCACAUGGGUGCGCCAGCAAAGCCCACUGUCAAUGUGGACCCCCAGAUCCAGACCCAACCCCCAUACCAGAACACCGGAAGAGGCGUGGAGGAGGGAUCAAAGAUCUAACCUUCAUCUGGAGUGAGCAGACCAUUGGGAAGUACCACCAUUGGAUCUAGGGCUCGCUUGUGUGUCUGCUUGCUUCUCAGGAUGUCCUCCUCCCCUCUACAGACCCAGAUCCUGACCCAGUUCCCGGUUCCUGCCCACCCCCCCAGUUUUCAACCUCAGCACGACUUCCAGUCCCGGCCCCAACACCAGCACCAACCCAGUUUUCUCCCGGUCCCAGCAACAAAACACGCAAAAACUCUAGACACAGCACCGACUAACCUCAACUGCCACCUCCAUCCAGCAACUGCCAGCCCAGAUCCCACCCCUUCCCCAACACAAAGAAGCAGACACAUUGUGGACUGACUGACCAACGGACUGAUUCUCUCUGUUUUUUAAAUGAAUGAUUAUUGAAUUUUAACUUGUGACAUUUUACCUGUAAAGAAAUUAAUUUAUAAAAAAUGUAAUACAAAAAUUACCCAGUCCUACCUA